GUGUCCGACCCCUACGGAUAUCCACUCAGGCUCGAAUUAGGAUAUUUUCUUUAGCUUCAAUUCAUCUUUACUAAGAUGGAUCAGCAAGCUUCUGAAUUUGCCUCCGAUCUGAUCUUCGGUAGGAUCUCAAUCAACCCUUGAUCGUAGCCUUCUUCUUCUUUCAUGUAGAUCGACUAGCACCCGACUCUUUGAGUACACCAAAUGGACCAGCCCAACUCCUUUGGGCAUGGGAGAGGAGAAGAGAAUGGAGAGGAGAAGGAGGAGGCAUGGAGAGGAGGGGAGAAGCUUUGAAUUUUUCAAUGCAUAAAACCUUAUGUCAGGGGACCUUUAUAUAGGCUUUAGAAACCUAAGAGUCUAAUGACUUAAAGCAGAAGGA
This 376-nucleotide long non-coding RNA is filed under the name Elaeis guineensis (African oil palm). Its description in RNAcentral is "long non-coding RNA (EGUI_LNC029356)". The record is from RNAcentral. Lineage: Eukaryota; Viridiplantae; Streptophyta; Magnoliopsida; Arecales; Arecaceae.